This 253-nucleotide ribosomal RNA is filed under the name uncultured bacterium. Its description in RNAcentral is "partial 16S ribosomal RNA". It matches the Rfam family "Bacterial small subunit ribosomal RNA", at positions 524 to 776 of the family's 1533-position model. The record is from RNAcentral.
UACGUAGGGUGCAAGCGUUAAUCGGAAUUACUGGGCGUAAAGCGUGCGCAGGCGGUUUUGUAAGUUUGUCGUGAAAUCCCCGGGCUCAACCUGGGAAUGGCGAUGAAGACUGCAAGGCUAGAAUCUGGCAGAGGGGGGUAGAAUUCCACGUGUAGCAGUGAAAUGCGUAGAGAUGUGGAGGAACACCGAUGGCGAAGGCAGCCCCCUGGGUCAAGAUUGACGCUCAUGCACGAAAGCGUGGGGAGCGAACAGG